GAUCAACUUUGGUGUUUAUGACGUCGAAUAUCGACGUCAUAAACACGAUCAACUUUGGUGUUUAUGACGUCGAUAUUCGACGUCAUAAACACGAUCA
Non-coding RNA from Paramuricea clavata, 97 nucleotides. The record is from the annotation of a GenBank genome assembly. Lineage: Eukaryota; Metazoa; Cnidaria; Anthozoa; Malacalcyonacea; Plexauridae.